Long non-coding RNA from Chroicocephalus ridibundus (black-headed gull), 340 nucleotides. RefSeq lists it as uncharacterized. Lineage: Eukaryota; Metazoa; Chordata; Aves; Charadriiformes; Laridae. The record is from RefSeq and is a predicted model, not a curated record. The transcript has 3 exons.
GGGGGCGCCGCAUAAGAUGGCGGAUGCAGUAGCGGGCGAGGGUGCUUUAUUUCUGUUCGGUGAAUCAAGGAUUUUAAGAAGGUGGAAUGAACUGCCCUCAUCAUCCUCUGACAGCACUGACAAGAACUGCCACUUACUCAGCCUCCUUCCUAAAGCUGUUGCUUCCAGGCAUUCAAAAUAAUGCAAAGGUGCUACAGCAGAAGUUGAGCUAUCAUCAUGCUGGCAACACAGCUUUGAGAAGACACCUCCUAUUCUUCCUUUAAAGGCCAUGCACCUGCAACCUUACUGUACAGUUUCCUGACUGAAUGAAGGCAUACUGCUGCAGCAGAAAAACUUCUGG